RNAcentral lists this ribosomal RNA (484 nucleotides) under uncultured bacterium. RNAcentral's name for it is "partial 16S ribosomal RNA". It matches the Rfam family "Bacterial small subunit ribosomal RNA", at positions 29 to 507 of the family's 1533-position model. The record is from RNAcentral.
AUUGAACGCUGGCGGAAUGCUUUACACAUGCAAGUCGAACGGCAGCACGGGGGCAGUCCUGGAGGCGAGUGGCGAACGGGUGAGUAAUACAUCGGCACGUGCCCGGGCGUGGGGGAUAAAGUAGCGAAAGUUACGCUAAUACCGCAUACGCUCUGAGGAUGAAAGCGGGGGACCUUCGGGCCUCGCGCGAUCGGCGCGGCCGAUGUCAGAUUAGGUAGUUGGUGGGGUAAAGGCCUACCAAGCCGACGAUCUGUAGCUGGUCUGAGAGGACGACCAGCCACACUGGGACUGAGACACGGCCCAGACUCCUACGGGAGGCAGCAGUGGGGAAUUUUGGACAAUGGGCGCAAGCCUGAUCCAGCCAUGCCGCGUGCAGGACGAAGGCCUUCGGGUUGUAAACUGCUUUUGUACGGAACGAAAAGGCUCUGGCUAAUACCUGGGGCUCAUGACGGUACCGUAAGAAUAAGCACCGGCUAACUACGUG